Molecule: ribosomal RNA, 253 nt
Filed under: uncultured bacterium
Lineage: Bacteria
Description: partial 16S ribosomal RNA
Rfam family: Bacterial small subunit ribosomal RNA
Source: RNAcentral
UACGGAGGGGGCAAGCGUUAUUCGGAAUUACUGGGCGUAAAGCGCUCGUAGGCGGCCCUGCAAGUCGUAGGUGAAAGCCCUAGGCUCAACCGAGGAACUGCCUUCGAAACUGCUUGGCUUGAGUCCGGGAGGGGAGGGCGGAAUUCCCGGUGUAGCGGUGAAAUCCGUAGAUACCGGGAGGAACACCAGUGGCGAAGGCGGCCAUCUGGACGGUGACUGACGCUGAGACGCGAAAGCGUGGGGAGCAAACAGG